UUCUGGGGAGGGUGGUCCAUCCUUAAAUGAGCUGCUAAGUGUGGGCUAGCCAGCUGUAUCCCAUUAGCUGUCUCAGCUGCAGGAGAUGUGAGGAGCAUGUAAAUCAGAUGCGGAGAGCUUGUUUUUGUCAUGGACUUCGUACGGAAGAGAAGGCUGAGAGAAGUUGUGGCAAAAUGCAGGUAGACUGGAAGCUGUGUGGACCAGGGGCCACAACUUUCUUUGAAGCAUCCUGCUAGAUGUCAUAUGAUUACAUAAAGAUUUGUAAGGGACUUCAAAUCCCACCUAGUUACCAUCCCCUGUUGUGAACUGGCUGCCCCCCACCAGAUUAGGCUGCCUGGGGUUCCAUUCAACCUGGCCCUGAACACCUUCAGGGAUGGAACCUGCACAGUUUCUCUGGACAGCCUGUGCCAAUGCCUCGUUGUUCUGUGAGUAAAGAAUUUCCUCCAAACACCUAAUCUAAAUCUCCCCUCUUUUGGUGUAAAUUUGACUUCUCUUUUGUGCUAUUUGACUUAUUUAUUUUUUCUAUUAUACUUUGUUUUCUUUUAAAUGUAAUGUAAAUUUAUCUGCAUUACAGAAUACUCCUUAUAAGUAAUGCAUUUAUUCAAUGCAAAAUAUUGAAUCCUGCUCUUGGCUUUUCCAUAGCUGUGAUAAACAAAACUGCUUAUGUCAGUGCAAGUUUCAUACAAGUAUUGGUAGGAUGAAGGUCUGACUAAAAACAAAAAGUGCCUUUUCUUGAACUCCAUCUAUUUUCUUUACAUGCUGUAGAGUAUAGUGUCCAGGAAGACAUGAAGAAAGCAAUGUUAAAAUUAACUGUUCCUUAAAUUACUGUAGUAAGUCCCACUUAUGCCAGCUUUGUGUUUGAGUGGAGAGAAAAAGGAAAAGUAGUUCAAAGACUAACACUUCUUUUGUGCAUGUUUGCCUCUUGUUUAGAUGUUAGAAAAAUAACAUUGGAGAGGCCUUUAUGAAAACUGUGGUUUUGGGAGGAAGAGGUAGAUACUGUGCUUUCAGUUUUUCAUAUUGAACAUCUAUCUUGCGCUCAGGGGAAGACGAACAUCUUAACACCAUUCUGCAUUAGAUAUUCUUUUGAAAGUAGGCUAUAUCCUGGAAGACUGAGAUUUACUAAGGAAAUCCAAACAUCUUGAAGUGGUACAGCUUGGGAGUACUGAAAUGUGGUUGUUAUGAACCAGCACAGUAAAUUGAGGUCAAUGCAAAAACACAAUCCUGUGUAGAUAUCAC
Molecule: long non-coding RNA, 1236 nt
Filed under: Phasianus colchicus (ring-necked pheasant)
Lineage: Eukaryota; Metazoa; Chordata; Aves; Galliformes; Phasianidae
Description: lncRNA (ENSPCLG00000005830.1)
Source: RNAcentral